RNAcentral lists this transfer RNA (102 nucleotides) under Infirmifilum uzonense. Its description in RNAcentral is "Thermofilum uzonense tRNA". It matches the Rfam family "tRNA". From Rfam's summary of the family: Transfer RNA (tRNA) molecules are approximately 80 nucleotides in length. The record is from Rfam by way of RNAcentral. Lineage: Archaea; Thermoproteati; Thermoproteota; Thermoprotei; Thermofilales; Thermofilaceae.
GGGCCGGUAGCUCAGCUAGGAAGAGCGACGGUUUGCCUAGUCCUCCUAGGCAGGUUGAGGCUUUUAACCCGUAGGACCCGGGUUCAAAUCCCGGCCGGCCCG